CAAACCGGGGAACCAGGGGUUUAAUUUCAAGCCACCCCAAAAAACUUAACUGGGCUUGAAAUUCCAGGGAACCUGAAUAGAAUCGGGCGUUCCCCCAGGAACCGGGACACAGGUGCUGCAUGGCUGUCGUCAGCUCGUGUCGUGAGAUGUUGGGUUAAGUCCCGCAACGAGCGCAACCCUUGUCCUUAGUUGCCACCAUUUUAUUGGGAACUCUCAGGAGAACCCCCGCGACAAAACGGAGAAAAGGGGGGAGAACAUCUAGUCUUCUCGGGCUUUUUGGGCCCGGGUACACACGUGCUAUAAUGGGGUAUACACAAGGAAUCCCACACCCGAGAGGGAGACCAUCCCAGAAAAACCCUACCACUCCUGAUAGUAGACUGCGACUCUCCUCCAUGAAAUCCGAGUCUCUCUUAAUCUCACAUAACCAUUGCUGCCGUGAAAACCUUCCCCGGUCUUGUACACCCC
This 465-nucleotide ribosomal RNA is filed under the name uncultured bacterium. Its description in RNAcentral is "bacterial SSU rRNA". It matches the Rfam family "Bacterial small subunit ribosomal RNA", at positions 924 to 1391 of the family's 1533-position model. The record is from RNAcentral.